RNAcentral lists this ribosomal RNA (289 nucleotides) under uncultured bacterium. RNAcentral's name for it is "partial 16S ribosomal RNA". It matches the Rfam family "Bacterial small subunit ribosomal RNA", at positions 335 to 608 of the family's 1533-position model. The record is from RNAcentral.
ACUCCUACGGGAGGCAGCAGUGGGGAAUAUUGCACAAUGGGGGAAACCCUGAUGCAGCCAUGCCGCGUGUGUGAAGAAGGCCUUCGGGUUGUAAAGCACUUUCAGUAGGGAGGAAGGUAGUGUAGUUAACACCUGCAUCAUUAAUUGACUGUACCCUACAGAAAGAAAGCACCGGCUAACUCCGUGCCAGCAGCCGCGGUAAUACGGAGGGUGCGAGCGUUAAUCGGAAAUUACUGGGCGUAAAAGCGCAUGCAGGCGGCCUGUUAAGUCAGAUGUGAAAAGCCGGCUA